UUAAUAAACUUUAAAACAAAGAGGGAAAGUUUCGUUCAAUUAGGCAUUAAAAUUGAUAUUUGAUUAUAAGUUAAAAUUAACAGAAAAUGUAAGUGUACAAAAAGUGACUGGUAAGUUAACAGCCUAAUUAGACUGUUAGAAGGUUAGCUUGUUAGCAUAAGCUAAACAUUAAUAAGUCAGAACAGAUAUUUUUCAUGGUUUCCAAAUAAUUAUAAGUCUUAAAGAGUCAUUAAAGUUUCAGUCUUUAAAUUUUCGCAUAGCGAAAUUAGACUAUUUUAAAAUCUCUCAACAUUAAAACGAAAUCCUUAAGUCGGGUUAUGGCGGAGUGUAGUUUUUUGACUGCACUAAUAGUUCGUAAACGCCACACAGGAAGUAGGAAAAGAACUACAUUUCCCAUCUGCCCCGGCCGUCACAGGCUAAUAGCACCAGCUGCUUUCCAUUACCCUAAUGAGGGCUUCAACUGCUGCAACGAGACCAAAUACAACGAAAUGCCGUGGUGUCUCGGAGAAGAAGAUUUUAUGUUGUGUUGUAUUUAUGUUUGAUUUCCGGUGGAAGGGAAAAACUUGGGGUAUUGAUGCUGCAAAAGAAGACGGAUCUUUUGGUAGGCUGGUUAACGAUGACCACAAGCACCCAAAUGGCAGAAUGCAGAAGACUGAAGUGGAUGGAAGCCCACAUCUUGGUCUGUUUGCUUUAACAGACUUUAAAGAAGGAGAUCAAAUUACCUACAAUUACGGAGGACCGGACUGGCCUUGGCGUAGCAAGCAGAUUAUGGAGGAGGACACUGCUGAGAGCAAUGGCCAGGAGAAACGGCAGCCAUCACAGUCUACACCUUUUCUGGAUCAGAACACUGCUAGCGGUUCAUCAGCGACUGAACAGUUCUUUUUGCAGAGGAGAUGGAGCUAAUCAGCGAUGAAAUAAUGAGUGAGGAAGGUGAGACGUGUAAAGAACUUGAAGGUAAAACAUCUACUCUGUAAAAGAGGAAGGCUUGAGAAGUAAAUGAGGUCCAUGCAGUGGAGAGACGUAUGAAGACCUUCAUCAUGUCAUGUCGUGUCCCAGGUGAGCUGGCCUGUGAAAACUGCAUUAGAUCUGAGCCUUUAGCUCUGAAAGGUGGAGACUGGCAAAGUGUCAAAUUCUGUCUACAACCGCAUUGUAGCUUACAAGAGAGAUAUAAACAAAGAUUAAAUAACACUUUACAUCUAUAGUAAUGCUUUAAUCAUAAGUUACAUUUUAUCUCUAGCUUUUUACUUUGUAAUAAACCAGUCAGCAUUUAAUUCAUAAUAAACUAAUCAGGAAUAAAUCGGCAUUAUUUAAAAUAUCCAUUAGAAUCUUUACCUACACCUUUUCCGUUGAAUGUGAUUGAAUUGGUUUGGGCCGCCUUCUUCCAGUGGGUCCUUAUGCAGUUGGCUGACAGGUUCAUGAGUAAGCCUGUUGAGCAGUGUGCUACCCAUUUACAUGUUUAGACUAAAUUAGCUACCUCAACAUACAUUAUUAAGUUGUUACUGCCACUUUUUAGCCUAGCCAGUCAAGUGGAUAAUACAGAAUAAAGGGGGGGAAAUUGUGCUUUCGACAUUUGGGGUUCUGUCUUUGCAUCACUGUGUUUGGCUAGCAUCUUUAUUUUCCUCAGUAUGUUUCAUUUUGAGGUGGCUGUGUGUAGUAAGCAGGAGUGUCGAACUUCAUCAUUGAAAGUAUUAUUGAGGCUUAUAAUACUUUAAUGCAAUUUGUUUUUAAGUGUUUAAUUAUACAGUAAAAGCUAGUCAAGAUUGCUUGAUUAUAGAAUGCUCAGUGUUCAUUGUUACUGGGCGUGUUUAUUUACUGUUGGAUGUAGGUGUAAUUUUUAGUUUGUACUUUCACCUAACACGUGCAAUAAGAAGUGUGCUUAACAGGUUUGUAGUACUCUGAAUGAGUUCAAGUUCAUUCAUGGCACAUGUGAGAUUAGUAGUUGUGCGCUUUAAUGGGCAAAUAUUUGUUGACUUUUACAGUAAAGAAGCUCAAGACUCGAGUUGUUUUCAUGAUGUUGAAGAGACAAGGUUUAUUUAAUCUGAGAGAUUUUCACUGUAAUAAAGAGUUCCGGAACAGUAAACAAAUCCUUCAUGCAGCUAAAAUAUCAAAAGGAUGUGUUUGUGUCAUUUAGACUAAUUCUGACCGGGAAUAAUGUUAAUUUGUGUUGCAUGCCUGUGAUAAAUAAGUGAGGUUCAGUACAGCACGCACCUCUACUUUCUUUUACACAAAAUAAUGUUUACUUUGGAGCAGGAAAUGAAAAGCUUCUUAGAAUGAUAGCCUCAAACCUAAUAAUAGCACUGGUACCUCCUUCCUUAACAGGUUCCUCGGUUUCUCAAAGGGUUCCUCUGUUGGAAAUUGAAAGCUCCAGAAGAAAUUUAGUCUGUUAUCUAUUAUGUGCAGAUAUUGCAAUGUCUGUAAGAGCUUUUUUGAUAGCCUUAUUUGUGAAAUAUGCAACCAGUGAAAGGUUAGUUAAGAGUCCUUGGUAUAAACAAUUAAGAACAAUUCUUCAAUAUCAUUUCAUGAGAAGCUUAAACCUUCAAAUAGAGAAAACACACCUCAUAUCUGCUUUACAGACAGCCCUCUAAAUUAGACAUACUUGAUUUUGUAAUUUUGUAUAAAUUAUUAUAAAGUUAAAUUCACAACUUUUUGUUUUUUGAAACCAUGUCCUCUUGUUAUAUAAAUUUCCUGAUGUGUGUAUGCGUAUUAGCUAUCUAGUAAUGUCCCCACUACACCAUGAAAACCAGUUAAUUUUCUGUGUAUGCAAAUUAGGUCACCAUUAAUGAUGAGUUCUUGUUUUGUCCCCAUUAGGUGUGAAAAAACCAAGCACAGAAUCUUUGUGAUUUAAAUCCAGAAUUUGAGGUGAUAUUUGUGUUUUCGGGCUUAAAUUAUUCAUGCCUGAUUUUUUCCACAUCUGUAGGACCUCAGUAAAGUGGUGUCCCCAUAACACAUGGGUGGGACUACUGACCCCAGAAUGUUAUAAUUACAAGAAUGUGUGUGUUUAAUUGGUCACUUGCUGCCCUCUGCUGGUCUGUCACCACACUGCACUCUUUCAUAGUUUGAUCUGGGUUUAUUUUCCAUUUUUCCAGAAAGUACUGUGUCCAGUAAGCCCACCACUCCAUCCACUCCGGCCAUGUACAAAUUCAGACCGUCGUUUUGCACGAUGCCCAAAGUGCACUACCAUGCCACGGGAGAGAAGGUCUCGAUGUAUGAGGACUCCAAAUCGACGGCCAUCUUGGAAGAGUGAGCUCACGACUAUCGAUCCGAGCCGAACCUCGAUUUCCAGAAUUACGGCGGCGCAGAAGUUCCUCCCCAUCAUCGCCACUUCAUGUCGUCUCCAUUCCAGCUCGACUCGUACAUCCUGAAACACGCCGGCCGUAGGGAGGAACCCGCGAAGCUAGGGGGAGUCAAACCUGAGUCGGUGAUGUCCACGCCUCACAGGGGCGUGUUUUCCCCGGGACAAUGUCCCGCCGUAACGCCAGUCUGUCGUACGACAGCUUAUUAUCACCGAGCGUCGCCAUGGCGACCUCUGUGCUAUGAUAACCUCUCCAAAACCAUCAUGGCGUCCAUCCAGGAGUGGAAAGAGCUGGAGGAGAGGGAGAGGCUCAUUCGGGCGUCUUUGACGGACAUUUUCCCGCCUCCAGAGAGUCUCGGGACGAACUCACCAGGGUCGGGGUGAUGUCCUUCGGCCCUCGCGUCCUCCACUCCUCGGCAUCGUCGCUGGUCUGAGUUCCCUGAGUGUCCACUUCCUCUCUACACGACGAGGCGGGAAACGUCCUUUAUCACUCGCCGUCCCAUCAGCCUCCUCUCUCCAUCACUCUCUCCACGUUCUCCCUCCUUCUCUCAUCACAAACGGUCCUACAUCAGCGCCGCUGAGAGAGCCGUAUCACCUCACCUGGGCCGCAGGGAGGAAACGAAUCGAGCGAAAGUUAACGGACAGCCAAAGGGCAGACGCGAGACUGCCACCCAGUGUCCUCCUCCAGAACACCGCUCAGCCCGAGCGUCAAAAAGGUGACAGGAGUGGGUGGGACAAUGUACGACACCAGGAAUAGCCAAUCCAUACGCGAGGAAGUACUGCCAUAGCGACCGACACUACCACCAGUGGCCGAGCCUCUCUUUCAGGACACCGAAGCCUACCAAUCAGAGCCAAUCAGGUGCGGACGGGCCAAUCAGAGCAGGUCUUUCACCAUUCUGGUCCAAUCAGAGGAGGUCUCUCAAUGUCUCCGGGUGCUUUCAGUUGGUGAUUGCCGCAUCUCGGGCGGGGCUAAGACAUUUCCUUUGUGUGUGUGUGUGUGUGUGUGUGUGUGUGUGUGUGUGUGUGUGUGUGUGUGUGUGUAAAACUGAUGUUAGCUUGUUGCAUGUAUUGUACAGCUAGUGGAUUUUUUUUUUUUUUUUUACGUGAGUUAGCUGUGUUAGCAUGCGACAUCAGAAGUUCAGUUCAUUAAAUAAGGAAGAAAAACUUUAACGUGUUGGUAUGAGAAAAAAGAAUUCUGUAAUGUAACGUGUAUCAGUGUAAAUUAGUGUGAGUCUAGCAGGGGGCACAUACUUAUGAUUACAGUAGAGCACACUUUGUCCGCUGUCUAGGGCUCUCAGCUGACAUCAGACAUGGUUUUACUUAUUGUUCAAAUAUUACACAAAUAGUAAUAACUGACCCCACCUUUCCCCUUAACCCCGCCCUUACCUGACCCCACCUUUCCCCUUAACCCCGCCCUUACCUGACCCCACCUUUCCUCUUAACCCCGCCCUUACCUGACCCCACCUUUCCUCUUAACCCCGCCCUUACCUGACCCCACCUUUCCCCUUAACCCCGCCCUUACCUGACCCCACCGUUCCCCUUAACCCCGCCCUUACCUGACCCCACCGUUCCCCUUAACCCCGCCCUUACCUGACCCCACCGUUCCCCUUAACCCUGCGGCAGGAACGGGGAUUCUUCAUGUAUUAUGUGAGGAGAUACGUCUAUACUAUAUGGUCUAGUCUAGUAUUUAUUCAAAAAUAUCUUGUUUAUUCAUAAUUAAUUCAGUCCUGAUCCACUUCUUACUUCUGAAUGCACUGAAUUUGUUCCACAGUGCCAGGGCUCAGCUGCUUUCUACCUUUCUUUUAUUCUAACACUUUUUGUCCUGCAGCAUAAAUAUUUGUUCAGGUGGUUCUGAGGAGGCUGUAAAAGAUAAGAGGUGCUGAUCAACAGCCAGACGCAGGAUAACUCCACUGCUAAGGUUUAGGUAUUGUAAGUGAACUGCUAACAGAAGCACAGCCCGAGAGGGCAGGAGGAAUACCUCCGGUUUAAAGUGGUACAUUUCUACAGUCCCGUUUCUCUUUAAAGUGAGAGUGGGGUGAAAAUCCGAAUCACUGAGCUGCAGCUGUUCGUUAUUGAACGUGUCUAACCUGUGCGUCUCUCUCACCUUUCUGAGCUACGACACAAAGUCGGAGCGAGAUCGGCCCUUUCCCGAGAUUUACACCAAAGCAGGAGAUGAACGUUUCUCACGCUUUCCUUUGAUCUCGACGCAUCACCACGACUGAAGAGCUUUAAUAACUUUACAGGACAGAAAUCUUACACACGGCUUUCCAGUUAGUUUUCAUGGUGCUGAGUAAAAGCAUUAUGAGGUCACCGUUGGUUCAUGGGUCACUUCCUGUCUCGGCGUGUCUCCUGUAGUGUGUUCAGGUGAGGCGUGGAUCUAUCUCAACAGGUGAAACGGAGAAGAUCACAUAGUGACACGUGAUUUCAAGUCUAUCAGAUGUUCUUUACAGUAGACAAUUAUAGCUCAGUUUCACAAGAAGGAAAGACGGAGAGGAUCCACAGGAGAUCUGAAUGAACUUCCACACAAUCAGAAAUAGUUUUUUAUAUAUAAAUAAACUUCUGAAAUUCCUCCAGGAUCUUUAACUGAAGCACAGUGAUACUGACUCGGUGAUGAAAACUUCUCUCUCACUCCUGAUUCGGGUGAUAAGUGUUUAGUGAAGAUUAAUUAACACUAACACUAGGUGGCGCUUUAACACUGGGUUUGAAUCACUGGGUUUCUGCAGUAGUGAAAUCACGUGAUCAGAAGGUUGUUUAGUGAUUAAUCACAGCGUGUCUCGGGCUGACUGUUAAUCACGUGACUUUCUGUCCCUGAACCGCUCUGACACUGAAAUGAAAGUUCAAAACAAAACACCACAUGGAGAUAAACAUGAUUGUGUAGAAUAUCGAAAGGAAAGCCACUGGUUUGUGGACAGAAAGAAGGGGACUGAGGCGAGUUUUCUGUUCCAGAUGAUGGUUUUUACUACAGAGUGUAGAUGCAGAUGUUCAUCAGCUAUAUCAGGUCACAUCCUGAACACACACUGAACUUCUAGAUCCAGAGCAGAGUUUAGUGAACAAGGACAUGUGCAGGAAUUCCAUCAGAAUCUUUCCUAAACCUUUUUAAUAUGAAGGACUGUGUGACUGGACUGGGUUUGUGGAGUUAUUCACUAAUACAUAUACACUAGAUUCUCUUUUUCUCUUCUUUAUUACGGUUAAGACGUCAAUUCUAACCCGAAUUCAUAAGAGUUUAUCACAGUUCAUCUUUGGAGUGAUGCAGUGUGGGAAAUAUUACCACCGUAAACUAAAGCUUUUAUCUGAAAACUAUCACAUCAUAAUAAUCAU
Ictalurus punctatus (channel catfish) is the source of this 6610-nucleotide long non-coding RNA. RefSeq lists it as uncharacterized. The transcript has 8 exons. Lineage: Eukaryota; Metazoa; Chordata; Actinopteri; Siluriformes; Ictaluridae. The record is from RefSeq and is a predicted model, not a curated record.